AUGACCACUCUUCGUAAGAAGAAAUUGGUUACAUCAAAACCUCUCGGCCACCGAGCUCAUGAUAUUAUGGGACCAUGCAAAGCAUACAAGGAAGGCGCUCAAGUGGGUUCUUUGGUCAAAAGUGGCUUUCAUGAUGUUGAUGAGGAUAGCAAAAGUUGCUCAGAGGUGUUUAAGAAUUCUUUACGCGAACCAAUGGAACAACUUGUCGGACAGUUUGACAGAAUUGGUGCCAAGUACUGA
Non-coding RNA from Vicia faba (fava bean), 240 nucleotides. Lineage: Eukaryota; Viridiplantae; Streptophyta; Magnoliopsida; Fabales; Fabaceae. The record is from the annotation of a GenBank genome assembly.